UUGGGCUAAAUCGCAUCCUGAAUAGGCAGA
RNAcentral lists this non-coding RNA (30 nucleotides) under Mus musculus (house mouse). Lineage: Eukaryota; Metazoa; Chordata; Mammalia; Rodentia; Muridae. The record is from RNAcentral.